Molecule: long non-coding RNA, 995 nt
Organism: Cryptomeria japonica (Japanese cedar)
Lineage: Eukaryota; Viridiplantae; Streptophyta; Pinopsida; Cupressales; Cupressaceae
Exons: 4
Source: RefSeq, a predicted model, not a curated record
UCACGAUAUGUUCAUGAAGUAGUAGAAGUUAAACAUAACUAAGAUAUAAUGGAUGCAUCCUCUUCAGGAAUGUGUUAAUGAAUUUUGGCUUAAACAAGAUAAGAACGGCAAAUGGGGCCACACGUUAAACAAGAAAAGAACGACAAAUGGGGCCACAUUAGGUUCUUGAAGUACCAGUUGGGAGUGGCAGUCUAAUUCAAUUGCUAAAACCAUUAUAUCGAGAUAGUGUAAUCUACUUUCAAAAAACAUUCAAUUUUCCUAAGAGAUAGUUCCUUAUUUUCAGGGGGAUUUGUCUCUAUUCAACAAGGGAGGGGAAAUUCAAGCUUGUUUUUAUUCUUGCAAUUGUUCCCAUUACUGUCAAUCACAACAGUUUGAUUGGUGACUAUGGGUGAUGAACCUAAGGCAAACUUGGUGUGGAGAAUAGUGAAAAGAAAGCAGUCAACCGCAAAGAAAGGAUUGCCUUCUCACUAAGCCAGCUGGGUUCAAAACGUGACUCUCUCCCUCAACAAUGCACAGGGGGGACUUUGGCUCCAAAUAUGAUCUGGAUCAGGCUCACCAAUUUCACAGAAGGUGAACUGUGGAUAUGGCAUAUGUAGAAAAGGGCGUUAUACCAGAUCGAAUUACAAGUUACAUUAUAGAAAGCACUAGGAUCUUUCUCCUCUCUAUCAACCAACACUACAGACCAAGGUGUCUACAAUGUUUGCAGCAUAUGAAGCAUUAGUACUACCUUGUGAAGAGCAAGCUACAUGAGCUCUUUCAUCUAGAAGUAGAGAUUUUGUCUACUGGUGGAAUGGUCCCUCUCAUAGAGUAAUUGGGAAGAUAGUAUUUUGCUCAAUGGCGAAAUGAUCUUGAGAACUGAUCUUGAUUGUAAUGGAUGGUAGUGGAAUAGAUAGUGAAUUAUCAUUCAUUCAAUUUCAAUAGACCAUGUAGAUUCUUGGAAGUCCACCACCGUAAUGGGUAUUCAACAUCAUAUGCAACCCUGAUUUACACAGUCA